RNAcentral lists this ribosomal RNA (450 nucleotides) under uncultured bacterium. RNAcentral describes it as "partial 16S ribosomal RNA". It matches the Rfam family "Bacterial small subunit ribosomal RNA", at positions 354 to 796 of the family's 1533-position model. The record is from RNAcentral.
GUCGAGGAUCAUUCGCAAUGGGCGAAAGCCUGACGAUGCGACGCUGCGUGGAGGAUGAAGGCCCUCGGGUCGUAAACUCCUGUCAUGGGGGGCGAGGCGGAGGCGGUUAACGGCCGCCCGAGUUGACGGUACCCCAAGAGGAAGCCACGGCUAACUCUGUGCCAGCAGCCGCGGUAAUACAGAGGUGGCGAGCGUUGUUCGGAUUUACUGGGCGUAAAGGGCGCGUAGGCGGCCGCGUGUGUGGGGUGUGAAAUCUCCGGGCUCAACCCGGAAAGUGCGCUCCAAACUGCGCGGCUCGAGUGCGGGAGGGGAGAUCGGAAUGCAGGGUGUAGCGGUGAAAUGCGUUGAUAUCCUGCAGAACACCGGUGGCGAAGGCGGAUCUCUGGAACGCAACUGACGCUGAGGCGCGAAAGCAGGGGGAGCAAACAGGAUUAGAUACCCCAGUAGUCC